CUCACUCCCCCUAAUUACUCAAUACGCCCUCGUGAGGCUCCAUUCUUUUGGUCUAAAGCAUUUUCCUAGCUACACCCCCAAUUUUUGACUUGUUUUUGUUUUUUGUAUAUUUUUUAGUUAUUGUUUUCUUAUUAUUACUUUAUUUAUUAAUUUUUGUUUUUUUUUUCAUUUUUCUUUAUUUUUUUUAAUUCUUUACCUAGCUACGCCCUAGGAUCCAUUUCAUUUUUCAUUUUUCAUUUUCCUAGCUACGCCCUUGUGAGGCUCCUUUUAUUAUUUAUUUUUACCUUUUUUAUUACUUUAUUUUUUAGUUUAUUUUAUUAUAUUUUUAGUUGAUGCAUAAUUGUUAAUCCAAAAAGACAAAAUGACCAUUUAAA
Molecule: long non-coding RNA, 374 nt
Filed under: Lathyrus oleraceus (garden pea)
Lineage: Eukaryota; Viridiplantae; Streptophyta; Magnoliopsida; Fabales; Fabaceae
Description: Pisum sativum (pea) long non-coding RNA (PSAT_LNC023421)
Source: RNAcentral